RNAcentral lists this long non-coding RNA (594 nucleotides) under Homo sapiens (human). Its description in RNAcentral is "non-protein coding lnc-SH3D21-7:3". The record is from RNAcentral. Lineage: Eukaryota; Metazoa; Chordata; Mammalia; Primates; Hominidae.
ACCGCCCCGCCCGACCCCACAGAACCUCGCGGGCCCUACACUCCCCCUGCCGAGGUUGAAGUCCCCAGCGGUUGGAAGAUCGGCCAAUUGUAGUGUAUUUAUCAGAAAAGUGACUCAUCCUUGAUCCUCAUUUCCCGGUUUGUGGAACUCUGUGAGGAAAGCCCUGCAGUUAGGCUCAAUAAAAGACAGAAAUUCCUGUCGCAGCGCUCAUAAUUCAUUUCCCUCUAGGUCUGUCGCCUUUGUAGAAACCCCGAGGAUGGCAACCUUCAACCUGGAGAUCCCUGAAGCCUUGACCAGGGAGGUUUACAGUGAAGCGUUCCUAUUAGCGACUACAGCUAUCUAACCUCAGUUCCUCCUGCUGCAGUUUCGGUCCCUUUCUCCUCCUCCUCCAGCAACCACGCCCUCCAUGAAUCAGCUUCUUGCACCAGCAGAUGAGCCCUUUAAAGGGAUUGCAUCAGGGAUAACGCUUGGGGGAUCACUGUGAGGACUCGGAGUUAUAGAAACAGCUUUUUGCAAGACCCAGCGAGCACUCAUACUCAUCUCAGUUGAAGGGCUUCAAUGAGGUGCAGGAAUGUGUGUGCCGAGCUCCCACAC